UUCACAAUGUGAUCUUAUUUCUGUUCCUGAAAAGUUGUUUUCAGUGUAUUUUCUCCUUGAAAUCGAUCACUUCAGGUACUAUUACUGUGCAUACCUAGCUAAAUUAGUGUCUAGUUUCGUCUCUGAUGACAUUUAUUUCGUAAAAAUCGCUGUUUUUUUCUAAAAAGGUGUUUUUGUGGUCAUUUUGGCUGUUUAUUUCGAGGGUACGGUAGGAGGUCAUCGUUCACUCGAUAACUCUUUUUAAAAUGAAAUAAAAGCGUUUUAAGAUACAUGAUAUGAAUUGAUAUUAAUAUUCGUUAAGUGGGAUUGUCGGUGGACGUUCAUUGUUGAACAGUUGUGCUGGAAUUACGAAAAUAUAUCGAUAUCGUUGAGAGUUCAUUCAUUAGGGGCCUGUUCUCAAUUUUCCUUACAACGCCUCUAGCACUGGGCAAUUGCCACCAUCUUGAAAAGCAGUGCCGCGGAUGGCUAUCGCAUCGCCACUACGCAUGAGAACACGAUGGCUGCCCUGCGCUGCAUUGAUAGUUCGUAAUAAAUUCACAUAAAAACACACCAGAAGAUCUCCGAUUUUAUUUACAAAGAUCAUAUUUUGUUAUUUAUUGAUAAAACAAGCCAUUUUACCACAGCAGGUGACACAUAUUAGGCCUGAAUAAGACUUUAGAAUUUGAAGUGGUGGUGACGAUGCCGAUAUCCAAGAUGGCGGAAUUAUACCAGUGGUCAAAUCUCAUCUAUUUUGGGUAAUUGCAUCAUUAUUUCUUUUUGUGAUUGGUGAUUUGUAAAAUUGAGAAUGAUUGAAAAAUCAGUAUUUUUUCACCCAAAGGCAUGAGUGAACAUUUGAUAAGUUUAUUGUGAUUUAAUUGGUAAUUUGGUCGACAUUUUGACAAUUAUAUUUAGCAAUAUUUCGAUAAAUGCGGACCUGCUUCUUCCUCUUUUCGUAGUGGCGGUGUUUCGAUAACUCAGUUAGACUUCGAGAUCUACAUUUUCGACAAAGGCCUGGUGUAUAAAUAUUACGUACUUGAUGAAGGUUUAAUGACACGAAUGAGUACAAGUACAUUACAUAUUUUCGACGAAGGCCUUCUGUAAUUUCAUACGCUUCUUACGCAACAUUCAAUAGAUUUAUUUACUGUAUUAUCAUUUCGACCAAGGCGAAUUCGACACUUCAAUUGACAAGGUUAGUAACUUUUGUUCACAAAAUCCAAAUGGAGGCAAAUACAGAACAAUCAAACUUAGUCAUUCAAGUCAGUUACUGAAGCACAGUGAAAACUGUCGGGAGCAGUGCAACUGAUGGCAUGUCAAACUUCCAGUGACUGUCCCUGUCCAUAUAUUUCAAGACAGUACAAAUCUUGUAAUCAUUUUGUUUAUGCAAUGUACGUUAUUAUGUAUCAUUUCAGCACAAUCAAACUUAGUCAUUCCAGUCAGUUACUGAAGCACAGCGAAAACUGUCUGAAUUAGUGCUGCUGAUGGCAUGUAAUUACUCUACUACCACUACCAGUGACAGUCAAUGUCCAUAUAUUUUCAAGUGUGCGAAAUUAGUACUCGUCUACUUCUUAGUGUUAUUUGAAUGCAAUGUAUGUUAUAAAAAUAUUUUUUCAACACUAUAUCAACAUUCUCAUUCCUGUCAGUUUCUGAAAAUCAGCUAAAGCAAUCGCUACCAAUGCAGCUGAUAACAGCAAUUCUUUUUGUUCCCAAUGCCCAUCCAUGACAAUAUAUUUCACGCAUGUGACAAUCAUGUAAUCAUCCUGUUUUUUGUGUUCUAUUCAUGCAAUAAAUAAAUUCAGUAUUUUCAAAUCAUUGGUGCUACAAAACUAUUCUCAUUAUAGAUUAUUCAUAUUUUAUAAAAUGCUGUCAUGUCAAAUUUUGUGUCCUAUAAAUCAUUAUGAAGUCGGCAUUUUAUAUACAACUUUUGUACUCCUCCUAAAUAAACAUACAAAUCUUGUUUUAUGUAAACUUUGUAUAUGUGACCCGUCACAGCAAAACCAGACGCAUGUCGCUCUGAGCUUGGCAGGUUGAGACGGACUGUUUGUUCAUUUAUCUAUUGUCUGCCUUUUGUAAAAUAUGAGCACAUCAAUUUCUUCCAUUAUCUCCUGGUGUCAUUUAGGCUCAUCUUCUGUGCGACAUGUACCUGGUUUUGCUGUGACGGGUCACAUAUUCUAUAGAUAUACAACACUCUAAUGUCACAAUGCCUCUCUCACUCGCUUUUAUAUAGCAAGAUGUAUGAAUAAACAUGACACACCAACUAUGUACAAAAUUGCUAACAAACUGCACCAUUUGUCAGUACACCACAUGAAAUACAGAGAUAUGUCUUAAUUCUAAUCUUUCAUUAGCGACACCAUUUCUUACCCGAGUGCCUCCUUCAUUCAUACAUCUUGUACUUUAACUCAAGAUACCCAUCUUUGAAUAUUUUUAGUAUACCAAGUACUACAAUGUCAAUGUAUUGAAGUCAUGUUCUUGUAGUGUUAUUGGCUUUCUAUUAUCUUGUCAAAAUACCACUUGGUUCUCGCAAAAUCUCAAUAAAAACAAAUGCUAUUGCAUGUAUUGCAUAUUCUGACAGCUAUCCACUGUAUCGAUUUAUCCAUCAUCUGUACUAUUUGUCACAAAAAUGUUAUAUUAUGUAAAUCAUAUUUCAUUACAUAAUGCACACUGCCAAUUACUGCUGAACCAUUCAUAUGUCAUUUAAAUAAAUAAUUUUCAACUUUUUAAAACCGUCUUAUAGUACUGUUCUUGUCACUUGGCUGAACCAAUUGCUCUAUAGCAUGAAAUUUCCAGAAAUGCGCCAGGGACUGAAAAGUGCUGUUUUAACAGAGAGGUGUCCUAAACUGAGAAGUCGAGUUGAAUGGAAACAACCAAUUUGGAACCAAAAACUACUGUCCUUAUUAAAGAGGUUGUCCUCAAUAGAAAGGUGUCCACAAAAAGUAGGCCCACUGUAUAUGAAAGUACAAACCCUGGUACAUGUAGUGACAUCAUCUACUCCUCGAUGUGGACACCUGCAAAUGCAGCGACAAUGUCACAUCAGUUAUUUAAUUCAUCGUCCUUUGUGCAGAUGGCACCACCCAUCAAGCAUGUUGGUGACGAAUAGUGUCGCAGCAUUUCGUCACCGAGCUUACACGAAAAUGCACUGUCAUUCAUUCAGCCAUAAGUGUAAGACUGUAGGGUUGUUUCCAACCAAAACAUGUUCGAAAUGUGUCAAGCAUUCGGAACACCCAAAGACUGAUUAGAGAAGUCAAAAUUGAAUGGAAACAACCAAUUUGGGACCAAAACCAGUGUCCUUAUUGGAAAGGUUGUCUUUAAUAGAGAGGUGUCUACUAACGGAGGUUCCACUGUACAUAAUGUAGGAACCCUGGUUGUGACAUUGUCCACUCCUCCAGCUGCACACCACCAAAUCCACAACAAUGUCACACCAGUUAUUUAGUUCAUCAUGCUUAUGGUCAUUGU
Long non-coding RNA from Lineus longissimus, 3429 nucleotides. RefSeq lists it as uncharacterized. The transcript has 4 exons. NCBI's taxonomy places the organism in Eukaryota, Metazoa, Nemertea, Pilidiophora, Heteronemertea, Lineidae. The record is from RefSeq and is a predicted model, not a curated record.